CAGCCGCAAAAGCCCGCUGGCUCGCACGGGGUGCUCUUCAUCGAGUGUCCCGCGUGGCCGGCAGAGUUUACUUUGAAAAAAUUAGAGUGCUCAAAGCAGGCUACACUGACAGCCUGAAUGCCUAUGCAUGGAAUAAUGGAAUAGGACCUCGGUUCUAUUUUGUCGGUUUUCUGAACCCGAGGUAAUGACUAAUAGGAACAAGCGGGGGCAUUCGUAUUGCGACGCUAGAGGUGAAAUUCUUGGACCGUCGCAAGACGAACAACAGCGAAAGCAUUUGCCAAGGAUGUUUUCAUUAAUCAAGAACGAAAGUUAGAGGUUCGAAGGCGAUCAGAUACCGCCCUAGUUCUAACCAUAAACGAUGCUAACCAGCGAUCCGCCGGCGUUAUUCCCAUGACCCGGCGGGCAGCUUCCGGGAAACCAAAGUCUUUGGGUUCCGGGGGAAGUAUGGUUGCAAAGCUGAAACUUAAAGGAAUUGACGGAAGGGCACCACCAGGAGUGGAGCCUGCGGCUUAAUUUGACUCAACACGGGGAACCUCACCAGGCCCAGACACCGGAAGGAUUGACAGAUUGAGAGCUCUUUCUUGAUUCNGUGGGUGGUGGUGCAUGGCCGUUCUUANUUGGUGGAGCGAUUUGUCUGGUUAAUUCC
This 646-nucleotide ribosomal RNA is filed under the name Potamonautes calcaratus. RNAcentral describes it as "SSU rRNA". It matches the Rfam family "Eukaryotic small subunit ribosomal RNA", at positions 685 to 1326 of the family's 1831-position model. Lineage: Eukaryota; Metazoa; Arthropoda; Malacostraca; Decapoda; Potamonautidae. The record is from RNAcentral.